Molecule: long non-coding RNA, 4757 nt
Organism: Canis lupus familiaris (dog)
Lineage: Eukaryota; Metazoa; Chordata; Mammalia; Carnivora; Canidae
Exons: 5
Source: RefSeq, a predicted model, not a curated record
UAUGCUUUUUGCCUCUAUGCGUUCCACUACGCUAGGCACUUCACACUAGUAGGCUCGUGCAGUAUUUGUCCUCUGAAGACUUUUUUACUUUUAUUGUUCUGAAGGAGCAAGGAACACAAACUACAUGGUGGUGUUUGUUGGAGUGAGUCUAUUCUUCAUCUCAUUUAGAAAGAAAUAUGCUUAUUCUUGGCCUGUUCACAUUGAAAGAGCCAGAGACUAGUAGAAGAGGAAGAGAAGUGGAUGGAUCUUCUCCAGGCUUCUUGCUAUUAAACUUCACUUAGAAGAUUUGUGGCUACACUGAAAUUCAAGGGUGUGACCUAUUGAAUGUGAGAAUCCAAGGCAAUGGAUUUAAGAGUCUCUGCAUGGUCUGCUGUUGGUCUGAUGGACUCCAAGAUGGUGCUUAGCAGAGGCUGGGAGAUAGGUGUUUAACCAGUUGAGAACACAAGGGGCAAAAUGAUGAUCAGCUUUAUCACCAGGAGACCCGGAGCAUAUGGGCAAGCCUUUUCCCUCCCUCUCCGAAGCAGAACCUUCAGUGCUUUCCCAGUCCUGACCUCACCAUUCUCAGCCCACAUUUGGAAAGGUUGAGACCUGGCCAGGCCUGCCAGAAACUGGUUGGGAGAGGAAACAGCUAUCUGUGUUGUCGAGCACAUGCAGAUCUGAGAGGCCACGUGCAAAUGGCAAGAGACUUUUGCUGCUGCUCCUCAUUGACCAGAUUCAACCAGAAGCUGAAGGGCAUGACUACCAACUGAUGCAAUCCAUAAAGGACUGUCUCCAAGGCGUACAGUUGGCUUGAAAAGAGAGGAGAGAGGAUCCGGGAGGGCAAACAGAAGCAUGGUAGACCAAGAAGUGUCACGUUGAGAUGGAGAAACCCAAGAUUGAAGCCUGGAAUGCUACCCACUACAUGGAGGACAAAUGUCCCAAAAAAGCCACCAGGACCUGCAGUGAAUUUGUGUGAACAAAUCUUUGGUUGUGUCCAUGUCUGAAGAUUUAGGGAGAUGUUUAUUACCACAGCCUAAACUAGCCUAUUCUUAGAACAUCUGGUGGGUGGACACACACACCCAUAUACACACACAGAAGUCAAGAAGAAUGUACAAAACUGGCUCUUCAUUCUGUUUCUAAUUAUAUCUCCUAAGUCCCACAAAUUACAUAGAAUAUGAUGACACUCCUCUCCCUUUUGCCACCAGCUACUCAUCUGGGGUACCUGUAACCUUGGCUCUUAGGGCCACCUCUUGUGCUUGCUUCUCAGGUGGUCACUGCUCAAACUAGUAGUUCUAACUCCCCUCACUCCCAGAACCUGGCAGCUUCCCCUUCCUAGCCUCUGGUGUGCAUUUUAGUCAUUACAUUUUGUUUUAAGGCUUAAGGUAUUUAGGAUUCUUGUGGAAGGAUAAUCUUUAGGGCAGUGAGGAUUUUCCCAUCAAGAUGUCUGCUAUUAGCAGGAAUUCUUAGAGUUAUGAGGCUGAAAGAAUCCAGUAUUCUGGAUUGUGUGUACAUUGGUCUGUACUGUGUCGCAGGAAGAAGUGUUUGUGUGUAUGGGGAGAGGUAGCAAGAGGAGGGAAACAGACCACCCUUCCCGCCACACUAAGAGACAAGAAAAUGAGGCCUAUCUCUGGUAGGAUUCUGUGAAUGCCCAGUAAACGCCAAUAAUGAUGAUGCCUGACUUUUCAUUUAUAUGGUCUUAUUUUGUUUCUGCCCUAACCUGAAUGUGGUGUCAAGGGAACUAUUAAUGGCUUCUAUUCAGGGACAUGUGACUUGGUAUUUAUAUAUUACCUGCCCACUUCAUAAAGUGCUAAUGAAUGUUUGCAAAGCUCUUUGAAAUCCUCUGGUGAAAGGUGCAACGUUAAGUGAAAAAUAUUAUUAUUAUUAUUAGAAGGUAAUAGACAGCUUUGAAUGAUUGGUCAUAAGAAUAACCGACAUAGCAUUAAAAGAAGUGCCAGAAAUCAUCCAGACGUUUUCAGCUCCUCCGGCCCUAUCAGCCUCCACAUUACAUAUAUUACACUGUUUCCCUGACACCCAUUCUAAUAACUGUAUAAUUCACACAUUAAAUCACCACUUCCAGGGAAAGGUUGAGCUCACUCACAGCUCUAUUGAUGGUGACACUGAGAGGAUAUUAAAUGUUGGAAGGUCUAAAAUGGAGGCGAAGUGCUCUUAGGUGGAGAGGCCAGAUCUAGCCACUGAAUGGCCACCAUGUUUAAGAGGAUAUGAAAAGAGAAUGAAUCAGAGACACCUUGGAAAUGGAGAUAAAACUUUAAAAUAGAUGCAGGAUGGGAAAUCCAUGAAAACAAUCAAAAUCUAAAGUGAGAUAGCCGACACGUAGCCAUAUUCUUUAUUGUAUGCCUUCUCUGGUUUGAAAAGUAGUGGCAACACAAAAGGAUUUGGGUUUCCUAAUUCCUUUAGCUUGGAGUUGUUUAGUAUUUCUAUCUUCUGCAUAAAACUCAGUCUUGGUUAGGGUUGGCAAGUUACUUCCAACUUUUCUCACUAACUCUGGUUGGAUGGCUGGCUGGAUGGCUGGAUGAUGGUAGCCACCUAAAGUACGGUAUUGAGAAUUAUGGGGGCACAUUUGGCCUUGGCAGGAAAGAAUGCUACGAUCCAUUAGCAAUGUCUGCCCAGGCAGAGGGAGAAGGAAGAUUGGCACAUAUGUGGAGUAGGCCUUGGGCUUAGUUCAAGGCUGCUUUUAUUGUGACUUAUAACCAAAGCUAUUAAAAAGUAGUCCAGGGGAUGCCUCUUGAUCACCUGCCAGCAGAGGCCAGAAAAGCUUGUGUUCCUGGCCCUGUAGGAACAUAAUAAUCCAUGUCUCCUGGAAAGGAACUCCUACGUCUGUCUGGCACCGUGAUCUUUCUGACUUAUGUCAGGAGACACCUCUAUAUUGCCUGGCUUUAGUUGCCAGUGGGACUUAUGCUUAUGAAUUCCAUAGGACUGUAACCAGCCAAGAAACAUUUCUUAAACAUCUACCAUCCUAAGGCAUAGUAAGAAGCAACCAACCCAGGAAAUUUGCUUUUUCUGUGAUGGAGGCCUAUUAGCUUACCAUCAUGAAUGCAACCAGGGGUAGGCUUCUGAUUAGGCAUGCAUCUUGAGGUGGACUGUAAUCCUUUCCAGAGACCUUCAAGAGCAGGUGCUGCCUUUUUUUUUUUUUUUUUCCCCCGAGCAGGUGCUGUCUUCAUGCUCACCCUCUGCUGUGCUCCAGAGUGCCAGCGUGUCCUGGAGGGAGUGUUACAUGAUUUUGGUGCUCUACUUUUUGUGUCUGGAGCUCAAGUUUUUGCAGUUGCCACCUGGGGGGAUGCCCCUUAAUUGCCUGGUUCUGGUGGCCAGGGGCACUUGCAUUCCUGGGUCCCAAGAGACUGUGACAAUCAGAGGGAUGGUUCUUGGCAGGCAGGCUAUCAUCCCUAUGGCACUGCACAGACGGCAGACCAUGGUACACUCCCCAGUAUUUCUGUGAAAGACACUUGUCUUGGAGUUUUGGUAUGAGGUGCAAGAUUCAGGUUUGGCACACAUUUAGUGGCUUCUGGAAUUGCUCUCAAAGAACAUAGGCUGUGGAUGCCAUCUUGCUGCUUUCCCUCUGACCUGCUUCACCUCACCAGUAUCACCCAGAAAAGAGUUUAUAUACUCUUCACAAAUUAUGUGACUGCUGCUCAGGGGACACCUCCAGAUCCCUGGCUCUGGUGGCCAAUGGGGCUUGCACUUGUAGUCCUAUAGGACUGUAUAUAUCUGCACACUUCAGAAAGUUGAUGCCUGAGGGUCUGGUUUUAGUCAGCCUGAAUCUAAAUGCUGAGAUCAAAUAAAUAAAUAAAUAAAUAAAUAAAUCCAUGCUGAGAUCCUCCCCUUUGGGACAUUGACAGGUUUCGGCACAUUCUCAACCACUGAUAGCUAUUGAAGAUGUAAUAGGCUACUUGGAAAAGCACAGAGGUUUGGAAGAAAACCAAGAGCUGAGGCAGGGUUAAACCAGGGUCAUCUCCUAUACAAGGCCACUUCUCCAAGACUGGAAGAGGUAUUUGUUUCAUCUACCAAAUAGAAACCAACAUAGAGAGUCAAGCAAAGUGAGGAAGUAGAGGAAUAUGCUCCAAAUGAAAGAACAAGAUAAAACCUCUGGGGAAAACAAAGAUAAUGAAAUAGAGAUAAACAAUUCAAGUGUUAAAGUGUACUAAUUAGUGGUCAUAAAUAUGCUGAUCAAACCUGGGGAGCCAAAAGGAUGAACACAGUGAGAACUUCAUCAAAGAGAUGAAUAAUAUAAGAAAGUACCAAAUAGAAGAAGUCAUAGAGUUGAAGAAUACAAUAGCCGAAGUAAAAAAAUAUACUAGAGGGAUUCAACAGCAGACCAGAUGAAGCAGAAGAAAGAAUCAGUCAACAAAAAGACAAAACAGUGGAACUCAACCAAUCAGAGCAGCAAAAAAGCUAAAAGGAAGAGAACAGGUGAAAAUAGUGACUUACAGGGCAACAUCAGAUGUUCCCAUCAUAGGGUCCCCAGGCAACUAAAGGGAGAGGGAAAGAGAACCAAAAAUCUUAUUUGAAGAAAUAAUGGCUUAAAACUUCCCUAACAUGGGAAAGGAAACAGACAUCCAGAUCCAGGAAUCCCAGAGAGUUUUAUAUAAGAUAAAUCCAAAGAGACCCACAAGACAUAUAAUUCAAGUGUUAAAGGUUAAGGACCAGGAGAGGAUCUUAAAAGCAGCCAGAGAAAAACAACUCGUCACAUACAAGGGAACCUUUGUAAGACUAGCAACAGAAUUUUCAGCAGAAACUUUGCAGGCCACAGGAGAGCAGUAUGA